Molecule: ribosomal RNA, 383 nt
Filed under: uncultured Desulfocapsa sp.
Lineage: Bacteria; Pseudomonadati; Thermodesulfobacteriota; Desulfobulbia; Desulfobulbales; Desulfocapsaceae
Description: bacterial SSU rRNA
Rfam family: Bacterial small subunit ribosomal RNA
Source: RNAcentral
CCCCUGGAACAGGGAGUGCCCUUCGGGAACCCGGUGACAGGUGCUGCAUGGCUGUCGUCAGCUCGUGUCGUGAGAUGUUGGGUUAAGUCCCGCAACGAGCGCAACCCUUGUCUUUAGUUGCCAUCAUUCAGUUGGGCACUCUAAAGAGACUGCCGGUGUCAAACCGGAGGAAGGUGGGGAUGACGUCAAGUCCUCAUGGCCUUUAUGACCAGGGCUACACACGUACUACAAUGGCCGGUACAAAGGGCAGCCACUUAGCGAUAAGGAGCCAAUCCCGUAAAGCCGGUCUCAGUCCGGAUUGGAGUCUGCAACUCGACUCCAUGAAGUUGGAAUCGCUAGUAAUCGCAGAUCAGCACGCUGCGGUGAAUACGUUCCCGGGCCUU